RNAcentral lists this microRNA precursor (96 nucleotides) under Aedes aegypti (yellow fever mosquito). RNAcentral describes it as "pre miRNA AAEL028998". Lineage: Eukaryota; Metazoa; Arthropoda; Insecta; Diptera; Culicidae. The record is from RNAcentral.
UUCUGAAGUUUCGAUGAUGACGAUGAUUACGAUGAUGGAGCGUUGAUCGUUAAGGGGUAGGAUCCGUCAUCGUAAUCAUUGUCAUCAUCAUCAAAA